AAGGGCACCACAAGAACGCGUGGAGCAUGUGGCUUAAUUUGACUCAACGCGGGAAAUCUUACCGGGUCCGGACACACUGAGGAUUGACAGGUGAAACAUAUUAGUUAAUUUUUAACGAUUAGCUAUAUUUAAAUAUGCUAGUCCUUUCAUGAUUGUGUGAUAGGUGGUGCAUGGCCGUUCUUAGUUCGUGGAGUAAUCUGUCUGCUUAAUUGCGCCAAUAAUGGAGUAAGCCUUAUGUCACAUUUCCAUUACACGCUGAAAUAUUGCAGUGAUGUGAAUCCUGUGACGGCGAACGCUCCGAAGGCAACGAACGAGACCGCAACCUUUAGUUGUUUCGAUUAGUUGAUUUAUUAGCUUUUGUAAGAACAAUCUAGAGGGACCGCUGGUAAUCUGUAACCCAGAGGAAGGUUGCGGCAAUAACAGGUCUGUGAUGCCCUUAGAUGUUCCGGGCCGCACACGUGCGACAAUGAUCUAUGCAAUAAGCAUAUCAAAACGUUUGUACAUUCUUUUUGUAUAGAAAUAUACAUUAAGGUACAGGCAAGCCGACUUCGAAAGUAAGUUGGUAAUCAAUUCGAAAUAUAGAUUUCCAUUUUUGCAUAUUAACUCUUUAAUCAUCCUAUGAUUAAGAGAUGCAUACAACGAAUUCAUGGUGGGGACAGACCUUUGUUAAUUGUUGGUCUCGUUUCAACUAGGAAUGCCUUGUACGGGUCUUGGUUCAACAAACCACCCGGAAUACGUCCCUGCCCUUUGUACACACCCGCCCCGUC
RNAcentral lists this ribosomal RNA (767 nucleotides) under Monothalamids sp. Its description in RNAcentral is "SSU rRNA". It matches the Rfam family "Eukaryotic small subunit ribosomal RNA", at positions 1160 to 1677 of the family's 1831-position model. The record is from RNAcentral. Lineage: Eukaryota; Foraminifera.